This 252-nucleotide ribosomal RNA is filed under the name uncultured bacterium. RNAcentral's name for it is "partial 16S ribosomal RNA". It matches the Rfam family "Bacterial small subunit ribosomal RNA", at positions 524 to 776 of the family's 1533-position model. The record is from RNAcentral.
UACGGGGGGGCAAGCGUUGUUCGGAAUUACUGGGCGUAAAGGGCUCGUAGGUGGCCAAUUAAGUCAGGCGUGAAAUCCCCAGGCUCAACUUGGGAACUGCGUCUGAUACUGGCUGGCUUGAAUUCGGGAGAGGGAUGCAGAAUUCCAGGUGUAGCGGUGAAAUGCGUAGAUAUCUGGAGGAAUACCGGUGGCGAAGGCGGCAUCCUGGACCGAGAUUGACACUGAUGAGCGAAAGCCAGGGGAGCAAACGGG